RNAcentral lists this ribosomal RNA (253 nucleotides) under uncultured bacterium. RNAcentral's name for it is "partial 16S ribosomal RNA". It matches the Rfam family "Bacterial small subunit ribosomal RNA", at positions 524 to 776 of the family's 1533-position model. The record is from RNAcentral.
UACGGGGGGAGCAAGCGUUGUUCGGAUUUACUGGGCGUAAAGGGCGCGUAGGCGGCGUAACAAGUCACUUGUGAAAUCUCCGGGCUUAACUCGGAGCGGCCAAGUGAUACUGUUGUGCUAGAGUGCGGAAGGGGCUACUGGAAUUCUCGGUGUAGCGGUGAAAUGCGUAGAUAUCGAGAGGAACACCUGCGGCGAAGGCGGGUAGCUGGGCCGACACUGACGCUGAGGCGCGAAAGCCAGGGGAGCGAACGGG